This 169-nucleotide small RNA is filed under the name Streptomyces sparsogenes. RNAcentral's name for it is "c-di-AMP sequence". It matches the Rfam family "c-di-AMP riboswitch aptamer (ydaO/yuaA leader)". From Rfam's summary of the family: This family represents a conserved RNA structure found upstream of the ydaO and yuaA genes in Bacillus subtilis and related genes in other bacteria. The ydaO/yuaA element is thought to act as a genetic "off" switch for the ydaO and yuaA genes in its native state. The record is from RNAcentral. Lineage: Bacteria; Bacillati; Actinomycetota; Actinomycetes; Kitasatosporales; Streptomycetaceae.
CGUGCGCCGUCGCCGAAUCCCGCACGCACAGCAGCAGCACAGCGACAAGCAACACCAAGGGAACCGGGGAACCACCAACCUUGGGGUGAAUCGGGUCGAACUUGACCCGUAGGAGACCUUCCUGCUCCGAACCCGUCAGCUAACCCGGUAGGCGAGAGGGAAGGAAAGG